GAUGAACGCUGGCGGCGUGCCUAACACAUGCAAGUCGAGCGAGAAUUGAUGGAAUGAACCUUCGGGGGAGUGAAGUCAAUGAAAGCGGCGGACGGGUGAGUAACGCGUGGGUAACCUGCCCCAGUACAAAGGGAUAGCCACUGGAAACGGUGAUUAAUACCCUAUAAGACUACGAGGUCGCAUGAUUUUGUAGCCAAAGAUUUAUCGGUAUGGGAUGGACCCGCGUCUGAUUAGCUAGUUGGUGAGGUAAUGGCUCACCAAGGCGACGAUCAGUAGCCGACCUGAGAGGGUGAUCGGCCACACUGGAACUGAGACACGGUCCAGACUCCUACGGGAGGCAGCAGUGGGGAAUAUUGCACAAUGGGCGCAAGCCUGAUGCAGCAACGCCGUGUGAGUGAAGAAGGCCU
RNAcentral lists this ribosomal RNA (407 nucleotides) under uncultured bacterium. RNAcentral's name for it is "bacterial SSU rRNA". It matches the Rfam family "Bacterial small subunit ribosomal RNA", at positions 28 to 417 of the family's 1533-position model. The record is from RNAcentral.